Long non-coding RNA from Erpetoichthys calabaricus (reedfish), 3952 nucleotides. RefSeq lists it as uncharacterized. The record is from RefSeq and is a predicted model, not a curated record. Lineage: Eukaryota; Metazoa; Chordata; Cladistia; Polypteriformes; Polypteridae. The transcript has 2 exons.
GCAGCGGGGUCAAGAAGGCGAGCGUGUUAAGGGAAAAAACCUGAAGGCACUGCACAAUCAAUAAAAUAUGGCCAGUCCAUCAAGAACCUCCGGGGGAUUCCACUGAAUUUCUAAAUGUACUGGAUAAAGGCGAUGCCUAACGCCAUCCUUGUUAGGGAUAGUGUGCAAAAGUGACAGGAGGUGCUUAUUUGUCCUUUUAUGUUGCAUUAAGUAAAGCUCAGUGUUACUUUUUUAUUAUUCAGGUCAUGGUCUUGGCUGCUAAAACAUAUCUUAGCCAAGCUAAAGAAAUCCUCAGUGCUUGCACAUCAUGAAAUAUGCGAGAAGAUGGUGAAAUCUGUCAGUGUCACCAAGUUAAGAACGAGUUCUAGAGCUCAUCAGUUUGGGGAAGUGCUAGCUGUGACGUUUCUGAAUAAGGCCGCUUGCUGUCUUUACUCUUAUCAUGUAAAGUUUAAUGUGAAUCUGGAAAGCUCAUCUUAGAUCUCUGCGUUGAAGGCACAGACGGUGUGUUUCGCUUUAAUCUUUUUUAGCCUAUUUGUUAGAAUUAAUUGAUUUCUAAGAUUUUUCUACAUAUUUGUUAGUUCCAUACAUGUAUAGUUGUGACCAUGAGGCUGCCUUGCUUGCUGAUGAAUGAAUCUGUUACCAGCCUUUCCAGACUUGUUUGCCUCUUUUUAGCCGACAUGACUAAAACGCUCCAUCUGGAAAAGGGGGCCAUCCAUGCAAGUUCUUCUACCGGUUAGAAAUCCAGCAGCAGUUGGACUCUGUGUGUAGGUUGGAGAAAUGUUGGAUAUUCCUGUGGCUCUUUAAUGCCCAUCAUUGUGUGUUCAGAGUUCAGUCGAAGGAUCAUAAAGCCAGCAAGUCUUCAGCCCAGCUCAAGGACAUGUAAAUGACUGUACAUAUAAUCGAAUCGUGUGUAUCAUUAGCUAGAUCUUCCUGCCACUGAUACCAUUUUCCCUAAUUCUGAGGUCACUAUGGUUUAGCAGAAGGCCAUCUCUUUCACUUUUUCUCAUGUUUCCACUGGGCGAGCCUGAUCUUUUCGUUGAACACAGACUGGCUACGUAUUCUUUGCGUCCAGUUAAGGUGUACUGGAAUGGAUUUUCUUUUAUUGUUGUCUUUUAGAGUGUUAAGUGGCUCAAGUGUAUCUUCUGCAGUAACCGAUUCCUGUUUUUCUCUAACAAACAGAAGCAUCUGGGCAAUGCCCUCCAAUGUUCUUCAGAGCAAGAGGCUGCCAGUUUCACUGAGGCCUUGGUACCCAUCAUGUGUCUUUGUGGGUUUUAUCUUGGGACAUUUACGGGUUCUGAGAGCACACAGAUGGACUCCUAGUAUGUGAAGCCCACCAAGGUGACUCUUGCUAGUUUUCACAUGGGUUCCCAUUUUCCCCAAUGUCCUAAAAUGCUGUGGUACACAUUUCCUUUUUACCCUUAUACCAGAACUGGGUGUAAUUUUAAAUACAUACAUUGUACCUGAACUCGUGUACCUAAAGUAAAUUUAUGUUCUCCAGCUUAUAAUCGCGGCCAGAUGUGUGGUGCAUUUAGCAAGACUUGAUUUCUGGAAUGUCAUAUUUAAUUCAGAAAGAAAAUAACCCAAAAUUACAACAGAUAAGCCAAAAGGUAGAUAAUUUGCCACACAGAGGAAUGUACUGUAUAGUGCCCUCCAUAACGUUUGGGACAAAGCCACGUUUUUCCUUGAUUCACCCCUCUGCUCCACAGUUUAAAAUUAUAAAUCAUGCAGGUGUGAUUAAAGUGUACUUUGCAGACUUUCAUUUAAGGGUAUUUGCAUACAUUUCAGUCACACCAUGUAGAAAUGACAACACUGCUUAUACAUGGACCAGCACUUUUAGACACCAUGAUGUUUGGGACAUCACAAUGGCAGGUCUAUUAAAGCAGUCAUGUUAAGUACUUUGUCGCUUAUCUCGUUGCAUGCAAUGACUGCUUGAAGUCUGCGAUUCAUAGACAUCAUCAGGUGCUGAGUGUCUUCUCUGGUGCCAACCCUCUAAUGCAGCCAUCUUGAGGUCCUGUUUAUUUUGGGGACUUGCCCCCUCACAUUUUCUCUUCAGCAUAUGGAAGGCCUGCUCAACUGGAUUUAAAUUGGGGGACUGGCGUAGCCAUUUAUGAUUUUUCAGCUUUAAAAAGCUCCUGCCUUCCCAGUAUGUUUGGAGUCAUUAUUUUGUUGUAGAAUGAAGCGCCGUCCAGUGAGAUUGGAAGUAUUUACUGAAACUUGAGCAGAUGUUGCUAUCUAUACACAUCAGAAUUUAUUGUGCCACUGCUGUCAGUAGGUCCAUCAUCAAUGAGUGUGCCAGAAUCUAUGGCAGCCAUAACAUCCCCACCACCAUGUUUAACCAUGUGAGGUGGUCUGCUUUGGAUAUUAGGCAGUUCCUUUUCGUCUCCACACUUUGUUCUUGCCAUCACUCUGAUACAGGUUCAUCGUUGUCUCAUCUGUCCACCCAAAAUUCUGCAGGCUCCUUUAAGUUCUUUUUCACUAUCUGUAAUCUGGCCAUCCAGUUUUUGUGACUAACUAGUUCUUUGCAUCUUGCAGCAUGGCCUCUGUAUUUCUGUUCGUGAAGUCUUCUGCUGAUUGUUGUCUCUGACACAUCCACAUCUGCCUCCUGAAGUCUGUUUCUGAUCUGUCAGACAGGCAUUUGGGGCUUUUUCUUUACCAUAGUGAGGACUCGUUCAGUCAUCCACAGCAGAGGUCUUCCUUAGCCUAGCAGGCCCUUUGAGAGUGUUGAGCUCACCAGUGCGUUCUUUCUUCUUAAUGAUAUUCCAGACAGUUGAUUUCUAAGGUUUUACUGAUAUCUCUAAUGGUUUUAUUCUUGUUUUUCAGCCUUAUGAUGGCUUCUUUCACUUUCAUUGUCCUCAUGUUGAACAAUGGCAACUACAGGCUCUAAAGAGUAGAAGCAACUCCGGGUAUUUUAUUAAGCAAUGAAACCCACCUAAAGAUUCCCAAACACCAGUGAUGCCAAUUGUCCCAAACAUUAUGGUGCCCUCAAAUGAGGGGGUCAUGUAGAAAGAGUGUUGUCAUUUGUACACGGUGUGACCAAAAUGUAUGCAAAUAUCCUUGAAUGACAGUCUGCAAUGUGCACUUUAAUCACGUCUGAGUUGUCUGAUUUGUAAUUUUAAACUGUGGAGCAGAGGGAUAAAUCAAAGGAAAAACGUGGCUUUGUCCCAAACAUUAUGGAGGGCAGUGUAUUUCAACUAACCUCUGUCACUGACCUUACUGGUUUGUCUUGGACAGUAGCAGGAGGGUGAACUCCUUGGUAGGUGACAAACCAAAUCUGACGGCCUUGCGGAGGCCAGCUAGCUGCUGUAUGCGUACAACUCCACGGUGACAAACCAAAACAUUUCAGUUCUGAUGGAUUUCUCAAACGUUAGCUGAGUGCAGGCAGAAGUAUCCAUUUGUGGUGUUUUACAAGAAGGUGAAGCUGUUCUGAUGCACCGCAUGCGCUUCAUCCUGUCAAAUUGUGAAGCAAGAUUGGAGGAGAUGCAGUAGGAGGAAUUAAAGUGGUCUUGCUGUCAAUAAUUUCACCGGCUGUACUCCCCGGUAACUGAAAAGCGGUGUUUAUUUGAACUGCAAGAAUUCCCUUUUUAAUACUCUGAAGUAGACAGUAUGUUAUACACCCAGUAAAGUGUUCGGUUCACGAGGGAAUGACAUUGCAAGCCAAACUUGGGGGCUGGAGCUCUAACAACACACAGAAACUGUUAGUAAGGAAGAUGGACAGAUCUGAAAUGAACAUGGCCAUUGGGCCAGGAAGAAUUCCAUGUGCAGAAUGUUGCUUUACUCUGCAAAAAGAUAAAUGUGUUUUUUUUUCCCCCAAAUGCAGAUAGUCUUUGUAUAGUGCAGUGUUCCUGUAAAGCAGCAGUUUUUAAAACUGAGUGUUACCUCGUCGGCCACUCUCGUGGUUUGUGUUUUCAUGUGUAAAUAACAGUUUGUUAAUAAAACUGAACAAAAGUUGUAA